Molecule: unclassified non-coding RNA, 239 nt
Filed under: Hevea brasiliensis (rubber tree)
Lineage: Eukaryota; Viridiplantae; Streptophyta; Magnoliopsida; Malpighiales; Euphorbiaceae
Source: RNAcentral
UGAUGACAAUUGUAAGUUGAUUCUUCAAAAAUGCCUUGGAUCGGAUGGGAGCUGUCCUCUUUCUGUAUACAACUAUGCUCUACUAUCCAAAUCUAGCUUGAAGAUGCCAGUUAGAUCUGCUCUCAAGCAAAAUAGACUGAAAAAUUCCAAGCAAUUUGCUAAGAAGGCUUCUCGGAAGUUGUUUGUCCAAAAAUUUUCUUGCAAAUCUCCUGUUUACCACAAUUGUAGGAUUUUUGCAA